Molecule: non-coding RNA, 354 nt
Organism: Chlorocebus sabaeus (green monkey)
Lineage: Eukaryota; Metazoa; Chordata; Mammalia; Primates; Cercopithecidae
Source: RefSeq, a predicted model, not a curated record
CCCGUGGUCCCGGGCCCACAGAUUCCCCGCGACCCCUACCCACCAAGAACAUCAUCCAAGCGCCCGGACCCCACCGAGGUGCACGCCAGCCACAGCCACCUCCAAGGGCUGCCAUUAUGAAGGUCAGAUCAGCUAACCCUGGUGCAGCGCCCAACAGGGAGCCUGGUCCCAGCCACAGCGAGUCCCUGGGAAAGAGCCUGAUAGCCUCGUUUACUGCAACAUUUCUUGGGCACUCACACCACCCUUUGUCCCGUGCUAGGGACAUGAAGAUAAAACAGACACAGUUAUCUGCUCCCACCCCAGCAACUGACGGGAACAUGAAAUGAGUAAAUGAAUAAAGGCUUGUCAACACGC